CUGUGAAGAUGCAGUGUACCCGCGGCAAGACGGAAAGACCCCGUGAACCUUUACUAUAGCUUGACACUGAACAUUGAGCCUUGAUGUGUAGGAUAGGUGGGAGGCUUUGAAGCGUGGACGCCAGUCUGCGUGGAGCCGACCUUGAAAUACCACCCUUUAAUGUUUGAUGUUCUAACGUGGAUCCGUAAUCCGGGUUGCGGACAGUGUCUGGUGGGUAGUUUGACUGGGGCGGUCUCCUCCUAAAGAGUAACGGAGGAGCACGAAGGUUGGCUAAUCCUGGUCGGACAUCAGGAGGUUAGUGCAAUGGCAUAAGCCAGCUUGACUGCGAGCGUGACGGCGCGAGCAGGUGCGAAAGCAGGUCAUAGUGAUCCGGUGGUUCUGAAUGGAAGGGCCAUCGCUCAACGGAUAAAAGGUACUCCGGGGAUAACAGGCUGAUACCGCCCAAGAGUUCAUAUCGACGGCGGUGUUUGGCACCUCGAUGUCGGCUCAUCACAUCCUGGGGCUGAAGUAGGUCCCAAGGGUAUGGCUGUUCGCCAUUUAAAGUGGUACGCGAGCUGGGUUUAGAACGUCGUGAGACAGUUCGGUCCCUAUCUGCCGUGGGCGCUGGAGAACUGAGGGGGGCUGCUCCUAGUACGAGAGGACCGGAGUGGACGCAUCACUGGUGUUCGGGUUGUCAUGCCAAUGGCACUGCCCGGUAGCUAAAUGCGGAAGAGAUAAGUGCUGAAAGCAUCUAAGCACGAAACUUGCCCCGAGAUGAGUUCUCCCUGAGACUUAGAGUCUCCUGAAGGAACGUUGAAGACGACGACGUUGAUAGGCCGGGUGUGUAAGCGCAGCGAUGCGUUGAGCUAACCGGUACUAAUGAACCGUGAGGCUUAACCUUACAACGCCGAAG
RNAcentral lists this ribosomal RNA (892 nucleotides) under Salmonella enterica subsp. enterica serovar Infantis. RNAcentral describes it as "partial 23S ribosomal RNA". It matches the Rfam family "Bacterial large subunit ribosomal RNA", at positions 2051 to 2925 of the family's 2925-position model. Lineage: Bacteria; Pseudomonadati; Pseudomonadota; Gammaproteobacteria; Enterobacterales; Enterobacteriaceae. The record is from RNAcentral.